Molecule: long non-coding RNA, 2219 nt
Organism: Ailuropoda melanoleuca (giant panda)
Lineage: Eukaryota; Metazoa; Chordata; Mammalia; Carnivora; Ursidae
Exons: 4
Source: RefSeq, a predicted model, not a curated record
UGCAAGCAAAGCAAUGAGUAGUGAUUUUUUUCCCCAGUUCUUAAUGCUCUAGGCAAGGGACUCAAUCCUAAGGGCUGUGCUAUUGAGAACAGGGAAGAAUACUGAGCAAUGGGGAGUGAUUUCAGUGCAUGCUGUUGUUGGCGUUGGUGGAGAAGAAAUAAAUCAGAAGGAAAAAAUAAAGGGGCAACUGGGAAUAAUAAAAGAUAAGUAAGACUAUCAGUGAAAAAUAAUAUUUUUAUAAAAUGAUAAAUGAGGAGAAAAGAUUUGUUCUCUUGAGACACAAAAACUUUUAAAAGAAGUCGUCUGAUCUUUAGAGGGCUGGAAGUGUUAAUAAUGUACUUGGGGAUAUUUAAGUUAUUGUUACUGGUUUGCUGAUAUUGCUGUUUUUAGCUUCCAAAUGGCUUUUGGGUAAGUAACAAUCUUCCAUUUAAAAUCCGUCUGCCCUGCUGACACUCUCUGAUCACAUUGCUUACUCAGAGCAGGUGUUUCAUGAAACCAGCUUUCAGUGCCAAUAAUGAAGCACCUUAGAGGGUCCAUAUCUCAGCACAGAUGUAUGUAGUUUUGAAGUCUGAAAUCUCUGGUGUGCUCAAAUUUGGAAAUUUAAAGCAAAGAGCAAAUAGUUUUCUUGUGUAAUGUUAAUGUCUUUCUCUUCUUCUUUAGAAAAUAUGUGGGCUUCAUGUGUUAGAAAUGGAUGCUAUUUUCCCUGCAUUAUGGCACGGUAGGAAAGAUCUGUGAGGCAGAGAAGCUUUUAUUCUCAUUAUACUGUAUAUGUGGAAGCACUAAGAAAUAUGAAAUCCUUCACUGGUGCAGACUAAAAGAUUUCCAUUUCGUCUGGAGGGGAAAUGUGCCAAAGUGGCUGAAAAUAAUUCAAGUAAUUGGCAAAGAGCUGUACUCUAAGGAGCCUUUUGGUGUAAUUUGAUUUUGUGCCUUUUAGGGGAGCAAGUGAGAUGUGAUUCUACCUGCCCCUGAGGGCCAAGAGAUUUUAAACAUUGCAGAAUCCUUAAGGUAGAUGAUGAUGAACUACAAUGUCAAAAGACACCUGGAAUUGUGAUAUUCUUAAGAAAUAAUAAUAAUGAUGAUAAUGCUCAACUGAGUUAAAGUCUGUCCCUUACCAUGCGCAGUCUGUAUUUUGCCUUAACACCGAAAAAAGAGUCUCGCUUGAGAGCUACAUGCUCCUCGGCCUACAAAUUUAUAGGAUUAUUGCUAAAUUCCAUAAGUGCUGUUAGUAAUAAUGGAUGGCAAUAACCAACUCAAUCAGGAUCAGCCAUUUGUAAUUUAUAGUUGGGUCCCCAUGGCAUUACAAUACAAUGACCCUGCUUACCGCGAGUCCUAAACUUGCAGGGCAACCGAGCUUGUUGUGGCAUACUCCUUCGUAAGUCACCGCCAGCACCCCUUCUCAUUACGGCUUCUUCGUGUAUCUUGGAUCUUCUUCACGCAGAGACUUAGUGUCUAUUAGUUUUCAUUUAUUCCUCCUCUAUUCCUAAGGAAAAGACAGCUUUUUAUGUGUUGCUUUUACCUUUGGGGAAAUGCCAAUUUCUUUAAAAUAAUUUUAGUGGUAGAAUUUUAAGCAAUUUUACACGAGGAACCCUUAAACAUUUCGCUUUUUCUGAGACCUGAAUGUAAGGCAGCCUCUGACUCUAUUAAUAUGUCUCAUAUGGAGAUAAGUAUAAGAUUUGAGUUCCUACCCACCCAAGACUGUACAACCAACUUGUAACUUCGGCACUGAGUAUGCCUACGUUCUUUUCACUGCUUACCCACAGAACUAAGGAAUAAGAAGAAAAGGAUGAAGGAGAAGUCUCAGGACAAGGCCAUACAUGUAUAGCACAGUGUAUCAAUGUCGGAGCUCUGGAGAUCCUCCCACCGGCAGGCCAUACUAAACUGCAGGAGUCCUCAGGAUAACUGAUCUACUGCCGCCAAGCACCAUGGAAAAAAACCAUAGAAGAUGGGGAAAAUGGAGAGAUGUUGGUUAAAGGGUACAAAAUUUCGGUUAUAAGAUAGACCAUGCUAUAUUUCUCCACCAGGGAAAUCUACACUUGAAAUUGUGCUAUGAAGAAAUGAGGACAUCGGGGAGAAAAUGUAUGAAGCAGAAGAUGUCCCUGAACAUACUCAGAUACUGAAAAUUUCUCAACACCAGUGCCCAGCCAGUUAAAAUAACUGUCUUCUCUACAUAGCUAUGAAGUCUCUUUGUACAGAAAAGGUGACUAUAUCCUCAUGUUCUG